UAGUAACGGCGAGUGAAGCGGGAAGAGCUCAAGCUUAAAAUCUCCGUGCAAGUUUUGCGCGGCGAAUUGUAGUCUAUAGAGGCGUGGUCAGCGUGGGCGCUUGGGGCAAGUUCCUUGGAAGAGGACAGCAUGGAGGGUGAUACUCCCGUUCAUCCCUGAGUGGCUCGUGCGUACGACCCGUUUUCUUUGAGUCGCGUUGUUUGGGAAUGCAGCGCAAAGUAGGUGGUAAAUUCCAUCUAAAGCUAAAUAUUGGUGCGAGACCGAUAGCGAACAAGUACCGUGAGGGAAAGAUGAAAAGAACUUUGAAAAGAGAGUUAAAGAGUACCUGAAACUGCUGAAAGGGAACCGAAUCGUUUCCAGUGUCUAUAAUCCGUGGCAUAUUUCAUUGGCGAGCGUUUGCGUGCGUGUGCUGUGGCAGUGGCUUUUUUGGCUGCGCCUGGCGUGUGUGCUGUGAGUGUUUGCUGGUGCCCUGUGCUGCGGUGGGACGUCAAGGUCAGUUCGUAUGCUGCGGGAAAUGGCUGCCGAGGAGGUAGGGCUUACGCUCCGCGUUUGUCUGUUAUAUCUUGGUGGACGAGUCGUCGUGGUUGGGACUGAGGUGCCUACAACGUGCUUUUGAGUGGGUUUGUGUCUCCGUGUGCGCCGUGUGCGGAUAGCUUGCUAUGCGUGUGUGGUUGUGUGUGGAUUGAUGCGGGCCUUAACUUGUCGCCGUUC
Molecule: ribosomal RNA, 711 nt
Filed under: Phytophthora capsici
Lineage: Eukaryota; Oomycota; Peronosporomycetes; Peronosporales; Peronosporaceae
Description: eukaryotic LSU rRNA
Rfam family: Eukaryotic large subunit ribosomal RNA
Source: RNAcentral